Molecule: ribosomal RNA, 233 nt
Filed under: uncultured fungus
Lineage: Eukaryota; Fungi
Description: partial 18S ribosomal RNA
Rfam family: Eukaryotic small subunit ribosomal RNA
Source: RNAcentral
AAGAUUAAGCCAUGCAUGCCUAAGUAUAAGCAAUUUGUACAGUGAAACUGCGAAUGGCUCAUUAAAUCAGUUAUCGUUUAUUUGAUAGUUCCUUUACUACAUGGUAUAACUGUGGUAAUUCUAGAGCUAAUACACGCUUAAAAUCUCGACCCUUUGGAAGAGACGUAUUUAUUAGAUAAAAAUACAAUGUCUUCGGACUCUUUGAUGAUUCAUAAUAACUUUUCGAAUCGCAU